This 91-nucleotide microRNA precursor is filed under the name Columba livia (rock pigeon). RNAcentral describes it as "microRNA cli-mir-9621 precursor". Lineage: Eukaryota; Metazoa; Chordata; Aves; Columbiformes; Columbidae. The record is from miRBase by way of RNAcentral.
ACCUCCCAUCAGGAUACAUCCCGUUGGGAUGCAUUCUGUCAGAAUGCACCUCAUCAGGAUACAUCCCAUCGGGAUGCACCCCAUGGGGCAG